CGGAGGCAGCAGUAGGGAAUCUUCCACAAUGGGCGAAAGCCUGAUGGAGCAAUGCCAUGUGAACGAUGAAGGUCUUUUUGAUCGUAAAGUUCUUUUAGGGGGGAAGACCAUGACGGUACCCCUUGAAUAAGUGACAGCAAACUAUGUGCCAGCAGCUGCGGUAAUACAUAGGUCGCGAGCGUUAUUCGGAUUUAUUGGGCGUAAAGCAAGCGCAGGCGGAUGAAUAAGUUCUAUGUUAAAUACAGCUGCUCAACAGUUGUUUGCGUCGAAUACUGUUCAUCUAGAAUGUGGUAGGCGGUUUUGGAAUUGAAUAUGGAGCGGUGGAAUGUGUAGAUAUAUUCAAGAACACCAGAGGCGAAGGCGAAAACCGAGGCCACUAUUGACGCUUAGGCUUGAAAGUGUGGGGAGCAAAUGGGAUUAGAUACCCCAGUAGUCCACACCGUAAACGAUGGAUAUUAGAUGUUGGGGUCUGUGCCUCAGCGUUGUAGCUUACGUGUUAAAUAUCCCGCCUGGGUAGUACAUAUGCAAAUAUGAAACUCAAAGGAAUUGACGGGGACCUGAACAAGUGGUGGAACAUGUUGCUUAAUUCGAUAAUACACGAAAAACCUUACCAAGAUUUGACAUCUCCCGCGAAGCCCAUAGAAAUA
This 647-nucleotide ribosomal RNA is filed under the name Candidatus Mycoplasma haematomacacae. RNAcentral describes it as "bacterial SSU rRNA". It matches the Rfam family "Bacterial small subunit ribosomal RNA", at positions 343 to 1008 of the family's 1533-position model. The record is from RNAcentral. Lineage: Bacteria; Bacillati; Mycoplasmatota; Mollicutes; Mycoplasmatales; Mycoplasmataceae.